Molecule: long non-coding RNA, 1139 nt
Filed under: Equus caballus (horse)
Lineage: Eukaryota; Metazoa; Chordata; Mammalia; Perissodactyla; Equidae
Description: lncRNA (ENSECAG00000049050.1)
Source: RNAcentral
CUUCACGUGCUCCAUAGUGACUACAGGAGUCCAGGACACAACAGCUCUUGGCCGUUGGAAAGAAUAUUCAGAGGCUAGCGGCUAACCAAGAAUCCGGUUGCCUGGCAAUACAUCUUAGGUCAUUGUUCUCUUUUGGUGAGCCUGUUCCAUUAGAACAAGAAGUUUCAGCUCAGCCCUUUGCUGGCCAUUGGUCUACAGUCAUGCGGUCAAGGAGAGCUCAAGGAGAGUGGGCAUUGAAGCUUCUACUCUCUAACUGGAAGAAAUGUCUAUCUGUGACUACUGGAUCUGCCUUCAGAGACUUAGAAGGGACAUCAAGCCAAGCAGAAAAUACAAAUUUUUGUUUCACAGAAAGCUUAAAGAGUUAGGGAAAAGACAGGAAGAUAAUGGAGAAAAUGGAGAAGGGUAUUAGCAUUCAUUGAACUCUUGCUCUGUGGCUCAUUUUGUACCUAAAACAGAGAAGAAAGCUUUGCUGUGCCAGAGGCCCUAAAUUCCUCUCAUCUACAGUAAAUUUCCAGGACCUUUGCUGAUGCUGACCCUCCCAUUCCUUCCUGUCCUUCAAGGUGUGGUUCAAGUCACACCUCUGCUGUGAUCUGAAAGCCCUCAGUGCUCUCUGGCAGCAAUGUCUUGUCUCCCCAACAUACAAGGCCUUCUACAUCUUUGUGGUUUCCUCAAGAUCCCAACGUCUUGCUCAGAGUUGACUUUCCACCCUGCCACUGACUUUCCUGUUGGCUGGUAUACACAGAUUUAAUUGAUUGGAAAUAAUUCAGAUGAAAUGUAAGCUCUCCUGCUGAAUGCUAGAUUUUGGUGCACCUCUGAUCUUAUUAAAAAAUUAUUCUUUCAACUGUUUUUAAAGAAAGGUGUUAUAUGACAGCAAGAUUUCUGUCUAAAUAAAAGUGUUUUCUUUUCAAACAAAUAUGUAGUCGCCAUUCUGCAAGAUCUAGGCACUGUCUCCCCCACACCAUUCGCUCAACCUCUCCUCCAAGAAUCUACCUUACCUGAGGGAGGGUGUUGGCAGAUCUAUGAGCGAUGGUCCUGGCUAUACUUCCCUGAGGAGGAGGAUUUGUCUCCGGGGAUGAUGAGAAACAGGGAUGUAGAGAAAUUUAGUCAUGAGGUAGGAAUCCUUGAAAGGAGAAAGGAAU